AUUGAACGCUGGCGGUAUGCUUAACACAUGCAAGUCGAACGGCAGCACGGUAUGUAGCAAUACAUAUGGGUGGCAAGUGGCGGACGGGUGAGUAACGCGUAGGAAUCUGCCCUCAAGCGGGGGACAACCCGAGGAAACUCGGGCUAAUACCGCAUAAACUCGGAAGAGAAAAGCUGGGGUAACCUGGCACUUGAGGAGGAGCCUGCGUCUGAUUAGCUAGUUGGUAGGGUAAAGGCCUACCAAGGCGAUGAUCAGUAGCUGGUCUGAGAGGAUGACCAGCCACACUGGAAAUGAGAAACGGUCCAGACUCCUACGGAAGGCAGCAGUGGGGAAUAUUGGACAAUGGGGGAAACCCUGAUCCAGCAAUACCGCGUGUGUGAAGAAGGCCUUCGGGUUGUAAAGCACUUUAGUUGGGGAGGAAGGUUAGCAGUUUAAGAGAUGGCUAAUUUGACUGUACCCAAAGAAUAAGCACCGGCUAACUCUGUGCCAGCCGCCGCCGUAA
This 502-nucleotide ribosomal RNA is filed under the name uncultured bacterium. RNAcentral's name for it is "partial 16S ribosomal RNA". It matches the Rfam family "Bacterial small subunit ribosomal RNA", at positions 30 to 523 of the family's 1533-position model. The record is from RNAcentral.